AUACGGAGGGUGCAAGCGUUAUUCGGAAUCACUGGGCGUAAAGGGUGCGUAGGCGGUUUGAUAAGUCUGAUGUGAAAUCCUAUGGCUCAACCAUAGAACUGCAUUGGAAACUGUCAGACUAGAAUACUGAAGGUGCAGAUGGAAUUAGUGGUGUAGGGGUAAAAUCCGUAGAUAUCACUAGGAAUACCGAAAGCGAAAGCGAUCUGCUGGGAAGUUAUUGACGCUGAGGCACGAAAGCGUGGGGAGCAAACGGGAUUAGAAACCCUGGUAGUCC
This 274-nucleotide ribosomal RNA is filed under the name uncultured bacterium. RNAcentral's name for it is "partial 16S ribosomal RNA". It matches the Rfam family "Bacterial small subunit ribosomal RNA", at positions 523 to 796 of the family's 1533-position model. The record is from RNAcentral.